UACGGGGGGGGUAAGCGUUGUUCGGAAUUACUGGGCGUAAAGGGCUCGUAGGCGGCCAACUAAGUCAGACGUGAAAUCCCUCAGCUUAACUGGGGAACUGCGUCUGAUACUGGAUGGCUUGAGUGUGGGAGAGGGAUGCGGAAUUCCAGGUGUAGCGGUGAAAUGCGUAGAUAUCUGGAGGAACACCGGUGGCGAAGGCGGCAUCCUGGACCACGACUGACGCUGAGGAGCGAAAGCCAGGGGAGCAAACGGG
This 253-nucleotide ribosomal RNA is filed under the name uncultured bacterium. Its description in RNAcentral is "partial 16S ribosomal RNA". It matches the Rfam family "Bacterial small subunit ribosomal RNA", at positions 524 to 776 of the family's 1533-position model. The record is from RNAcentral.